GGGAGUUGUAAUUUGAAGAAUGCAUUUUUGGUGGCAGCACAAGUCCAUUGGAACAUGGCGCCGCAGAGGGUGACAGCCCCGUCGCAGCACACCAGGCACAAAUGUAAUUCAACGAGUCGAGUUGUUUGGGAAUGCAGCUCAAAGUGGGUGGUAAACUCCAUCUAAAGCUAAAUAUUGGCGAGAGACCGAUAGCGAACAAGUACAGUGAUGGAAAGAUGAAAAGCACUUUGAAAAGAGAGUGAAAAAGUACGUGAAAUUGUUGGAAGGGAAGGGCUUGAAAGGAGUGUCAGCAUCGGUUGCAGGGGGCAGACAAUUGAAAAGAAAUGUAGCGCUUGCGUAUUAUAGUCUUUUUCGAUGUGCCCACCCGCGACCGAGGACCGCUUUACAGGAUGUUGACUUAAUC
This 403-nucleotide ribosomal RNA is filed under the name [Candida] sp. MC-B1C2(5). RNAcentral describes it as "eukaryotic LSU rRNA". It matches the Rfam family "Eukaryotic large subunit ribosomal RNA", at positions 138 to 538 of the family's 3401-position model. The record is from RNAcentral. Lineage: Eukaryota; Fungi; Ascomycota; Saccharomycetes; Saccharomycetales.